RNAcentral lists this ribosomal RNA (484 nucleotides) under uncultured bacterium. RNAcentral describes it as "partial 16S ribosomal RNA". It matches the Rfam family "Bacterial small subunit ribosomal RNA", at positions 28 to 507 of the family's 1533-position model. The record is from RNAcentral.
AUUGAACGCUGGCGGCAUGCUUUACACAUGCGAGUCGAACGGCAGCGCGGGCUUCGGCCUGGCGGCGAGUGGCGAACGGGUGAGUAAUGCAUCGGAACGUGCCCAGUAGUGGGGGAUAGCCCGGCGAAAGCCGGAUUAAUACCGCAUACGACCUGAGGGUGAAAGCGGGGGACCGAAAGGCCUCGCGCUAUUGGAGCGGCCGAUGUCGGAUUAGCUAGUUGGUGGGGUAAAGGCUUACCAAGGCGACGAUCCGUAGCUGGUCUGAGAGGACGACCAGCCACACUGGGACUGAGACACGGCCCAGACUCCUACGGGAGGCAGCAGUGGGGAAUUUUGGACAAUGGGGGCAACCCUGAUCCAGCCAUGCCGCGUGCGGGAAGAAGGCCUUCGGGUUGUAAAACGCCUUUGUUCGGGAAGAAAUCCUCUGGGCUAAUACCCCGGGGGGAUGACGGUACCGGAAGAAUAAGCACCGGCUAACUACGUG